AUGAAUGACCCGACCUACCAAACAAGGAACUUUUGGUGGACAGGUGUUAGAGAAGAUCCAUCUACAAAAGUUUUAUGUCUAAGAGCUUGGGCUGAUAUAUGUAUUGGAAAAAAGGAAGGUGGCUUAGGUGUCAGAAAUCUACAGGCUAUCAAUCAAAGUCUUAUUCUAUCAGUUGCUUGGAUAUUAGCAAAGGAACCUCACAGUUACCUCUUUCUUAUCCUCAAGGCCAAAUACCACAAUGACACAUCAAUUUGGAGAGCAAAACAUAAUGUUCCAAAAUCAGCCUUCUGGACUCUAUUCUUAAGUCUUAUAAUCCACCAACCACCUUACUCUUAUCCAGUUGUUGUUAGUGAUCUUUGGCUUCCUAAUCAGAAAAGUUGGAACAUCAAUCUUGUCAAUGCUCUGUUUCAUCCUCAUACUGCACAAGCAACACUGCAAACUCCUAUUGUUAACACUGUUGGAGAGGACGUGUUAGUUUGGAAGCUAACCCCUGCAGGUGACCACUUUUCGAAAAGUGCCUACAAGCACUGCUUCAAUAAUCUACCACUACCAGCAAACCAGCGGCCAAAAUCUGUUCCACCGCAGAUUGCAAAUCUUCCCAAUCAGGUUUGGAAAGACAAACGCAUGGAGCCAAGAGUUCAAACUUUCGCAUGGAGACUUCUUCACCGAGCACUUCCAACGGGUAAGCGUGCAAGUAUAUACCUGGUGGCAAAUGUGAUCCUACAAGGCCCAAAACUAGAAGAUGAGAUGGCAGGAACUGUUGUUGUACAACCACACAAGAACCGUCUUUACAGCAAGAAGGGGAUUGGGGAUGAGAGCCAGGAGAUGGAAGGAGAUUCACGCCCAACGACGGCCGGUUCAGGUCUUGCCUCCUCGGGUUGGGCCUUGUAUCCCGCUUGGGCCUCGUGGCCCGGCCUUGAGCCUCUUUGGUUGGGGUUGAUGGAGUAG
Molecule: ribosomal RNA, 948 nt
Filed under: Triticum aestivum (bread wheat)
Lineage: Eukaryota; Viridiplantae; Streptophyta; Magnoliopsida; Poales; Poaceae
Description: partial small subunit ribosomal RNA
Source: RNAcentral